Molecule: ribosomal RNA, 427 nt
Filed under: uncultured bacterium
Lineage: Bacteria
Description: bacterial SSU rRNA
Rfam family: Bacterial small subunit ribosomal RNA
Source: RNAcentral
UGGGGAAUAUUGCACAAUGGGCGCAAGCCUGAUGCAGCCAUGCCGCGUGUGUGAAGAAGGCCUUAGGGUUGUAAAGCACUCUCAGCGAGGAGGAAGGCAUCAUACUUAAUACGUGUGGUGAUUGACGUUACUCGCAGAAGAAGCACCGGCUAACUCCGUGCCAGCAGCCGCGGUAACACGGAGGGUGCAAGCGUUAAUCGGAAUUACUGGGCGUAAAGCGUGCGCAGGCGGUUAUGCAAGACAGAUGUGAAAUCCCCGGGCUCAACCUGGGAACUGCAUUCGAAACUGGCAGGCUUGAGUCUUGUAGAGGGGGGUAGAAUUCCAGGUGUAGCGGCGAAAUGCGUAGAGAUCUGGAGGAAUACCGGUGGCGAAGGCGGCCCCCUGGACAAAGACUGACGCUCAGGUGCGAAAGCGUGGGGAGCAAACA